ACGCACCGCUACUUAUUAAGAAAAUGCGCGCCAAAGUUACUUUUAUAUGUAUUGUUAUUUGGUUUAAUUGUGAUCGAGUGUACACAGUAGUUAUAAGAAAAAACUGUAGCGAUUGCAUUGGCUACAAAUCAUGUACCGCUGCCGUGAUAGCCACAGGCAUGGCUCUGUACACUGAGCUUCAGAGCGCCGACUGCGGGUUAGACGAUGCCUUAGUACGGAAGGUAUGCUGCGCUAAGCUGACAGAUGGAGUGGAAACCGCAAUGGCCAACUACCUUGAUUACCAUCCAAACGUUCUCCUGUUACCGGAUAACUGUGGCAUCGGGGAGGAAGAUGGUUAUGCAGACAGAAUCGCAGGCGGUAAAGUUGAUAUGUACAUAAUUAUGUUGCGCUAAGCUGACAGCUGGGUGCGUAGCCAACGUGCAAUCGUUUACGCUCCGUAGCACGUUGGCUACACGCCCUGAAGUGGAAACUACAAUGGCCAACUACCUUGUUUACCAUCCAAACGUUCUCCUGUUACCGGAUAACUGUGGCAUCGGUGAGGAAGAUGGUUAUGCAGACAGAAUCGCAGGCGGGGUCCCUGUGCUCGGGCUGUACGUGUAUCCAUGGAUGGUAUUCAUAUCCUAUAAAACA
Molecule: long non-coding RNA, 630 nt
Organism: Cydia splendana
Lineage: Eukaryota; Metazoa; Arthropoda; Insecta; Lepidoptera; Tortricidae
Exons: 4
Source: RefSeq, a predicted model, not a curated record